This is an RNA transcript of Tachysurus vachellii, 6557 nucleotides long. It is a transcript of the gene named AGBL carboxypeptidase 5, with no coding region annotated. The transcript is spliced from 14 exons. Lineage: Eukaryota; Metazoa; Chordata; Actinopteri; Siluriformes; Bagridae. The record is from RefSeq and is a predicted model, not a curated record.
CCGUCUUUUUGUAACACAGAGACGGCUAAGUGGGUUUGUUUGGGUGUUGAAGUGUACGUAGCGGACUCUGAGAAAUCGGUCGGAUUUCGUCCUAAAACACGGCGCUGUACGACGCAUUCCUAAGUUCAACUGUAGCGCCUGUCUCCCUUUCUUUAUGUCCUUUGGAAAAGAACAAGUUGGAAGUUAAAAGAUGUCAGCAGUAGAUGUGAGGUGUGUUUGUGAGAGACUGUCAAGGCGCAGCAUGUUUAAGCAGUGAUCUAAGCCCAGAGCUCUGGUCAUGGAGUCCCGCUUUGGGAAUGUGGUGUUCAGCUCGCGCUUUGACUCCGGGAACCUGGGCCGGGUGGAGAAGGUGGAGGUGCCUGAACGUGAUGCUGAGAGAAGCUCAUUCUCACACGUCGACUACGAGUUCAGCGUCUGGACUAAACCUGACUGCGCAGACACCGAGUUUGAGAAUGGGAAUCGAUCAUGGUUCUACUUCAGCGUACGUGGUGUGCAGCCGGGUAAACUGCUGAAGAUUAACGUGAUGAACAUGAAUAAGCAGAGCAAGCUCUACUCUCAAGGCAUGGCUCCAUUUGUGCGCACCUUUCCUGUGAAAAUGCGCUGGGAAAGAGUUCGGGAGAGACCGAUGUUCGAGAUGUCAGAGAAUCAGUUCACUUUGUCGUUCAUGCAUCGUGUGCUGGAAGGGCGAGGAGUCAUCACAUACUUCGCUUUCUGCUAUCCGUUCUCCUACACCGAGUGCCAGGACAUGCUUUUGCAGCUAGACCAGAGACUGCUCAGCCAUUCUCACACACUAGGGCCUUGCAGCCCGGCAGACAGUCUGUAUUAUCACCGUGAGUUGCUGUGUUACACUCUGGAUGGGCACAGAGUAGACCUGCUGACUGUGACCUCCUGCCAUGGCAUGCUGGAGGAGAGAGAACCCAGACUGGAGAAACUCUUUCCUGACCACAGCACACCACGACCACACCGCUUUGCUGGCAAACGGGUGUUUUUCAUCAGCAGCAGGGUGCACCCCGGUGAGACACCCUCCAGCUAUGUUUUUAAUGGCUUCCUGAACUUCAUUCUGAAUCAGGAAGACCCACGGGCACAAAUGCUGUGCCGGUUGUUUGUCUUUAAGCUCAUUCCCAUGCUCAAUCCUGAUGGAGUUGUCAGAGGUCACUACAGGACGGACUCACGUGGUGUGAAUCUUAACCGACAGUAUAUGAACCCGAGUGCUGAGCUUCACCCCUCCAUCUACGGAGCCAAAUCCCUCCUCCUCUACCAUCACCGGCACAACCGCCUUAAACCCAGCUCUCCCUCUGCACUUAAACUCUCCAACCAGUCCAACACCACCGCCACCCCACUCCUCACUACGCCUCUUGAACUUGAACACUACCUCAAUUGCCGCAACGAGGUGGAGCGAUUAGAGGGCCCAACUCUUGACCUCUCGCAGAUACCCAUGCAGAUGGAUGAGAGUUGGGAGAGUAAAGGCAGAGUGAAGGGCAAGUUUGGGCUAGGCGAUGAGAAUGACUCGACCCCAAGCCGGAGUGACGCAUGCGUCUCUAACCUCACCCCAACAGAGCAGAUCCCACCGCAGGAAAGCGGAGUGGCCUAUUACAUAGACCUACAUGGCCACGCCUCCAAAAGAGGAUGCUUUAUGUACGGUAACAAUCUGCCUGAUGAGAAUCAGCAAGUGGAGAACCUGAUGUAUCCAAAGCUGAUCUCGAUGAACUCGGCCCAUUUUGACUUCCUCGGCUGUAAUUUCUCAGAGAAGAACAUGUAUGCACGUGACAAGCGUGAUGGUCAGUCUAAAGAGGGCAGCGGCAGAGUGGCCAUACACAAAGCUAUUGGAGUAGUUCACAGUUACACGUUGGAGUGUAACUACAACACAGGCCGUUCAGUCAACACCAUUCCACCCGCCUGCCAUGACAACGGCCGUGCCACUCCUCCUCCUCCUCCUGCCUUCCCUCCCAAAUACACACCUGAAGUGUACGAACAGGUUGGCCGUGCAGUUGCCAUAGCAGCCCUGGACAUGGCUGAAUGUAACCCAUGGCCGAGGCUCGUCCUGUCCGAGCACAGCAACCUGGUGAACCUACGAGCAUCACUGCUCAAACACGUGCGCAACAGCAAGGGCUUGGUCUCCAACAGCCGCAAGAAUGCAAACAAGGCUCCCGGCCCUCCGAAAUGCGCAGGCCUGAGCAGCUCUGUUUCGGAGAAUUCCCUUAGCCGGAGUCGCAGCCAUGGCACGCGGAACGGCAGCAUCCCUGGGAACAAGCAGACAUCUCCACAGCUGAAGAGUUCCCCUAGCUUUACAUUUGGCUGGAGCAGUUCUGGAAACACCCCCAGCUCACAUAGACCUGCCCACAAAGCCCUGGGGCCAGUCAGAGAGUCGAAAGCUCUGGAGAAGAGGCGCCAACACCAACUCGGGCAGCGCCUCUCACUCCACUGUCCCAGCAACAGCCAAGCCGUCCCAGCACGUCCCCCACUCUCCCCUUCUUCCUCUUCCUCCUCCUCCUCCUCUUCCUCCUCCCCCUCCUCCUCCUUGGGGGCGGGGUCAGCCUCUUGUUCCAUCAAUACGGCAGGUCUGUACUCCCACACCGGCCUGCUCACCAAACUAAGCUCUCUGCACCACACCUGCCUCAGAGACACUCAGACAACACAGCCAGCACAGCAAGACUAACUGGCUGCUGUGUGCAUGACUGUGUGUGUGACUGUGUGUGACUGUGUGUGUGACUGUGUGUGUGACUGUGUGUGUGACUGUGUGUGACUGUGUGUGUGACUGUGUGUGUGACUGUGUGUGUGACUGUGUGUGUGACUGUGUGUGAGACUGUGUGUGCCUGUGUGUGUGAGCGUUGUGUGAGCAUUGUGUGAGCGUUGUGUGAGCGUUGUGAGUGUGUUGUGAGUGUGUUGUGAAUGUGUGUGUUGUGAGAGUGUGUGUUGUGAGAGUGUGUGUUGUGAGAGUGUGUGUUGUGAGAGUGUGUGUUGUGAGAGUGUGUGUUGAGUGUGUGUGUUGAGUGUGUGUGUUGUGAGAGUAUGUGUUGUGAGAGUAUGUGUUGUGAGUGUGUUGUGAGAGUAUGUGUUGUGAGUGUGUUGUGAGAGUGUGUGUUGUGUGUUGUGAGUGUGUUGUGAGAGUGUGUGUUGUGAAAGUAUGUGUUGUGAAUGUGUUGUGAGAGUAUGUGUUGUGAGUAUGUGUUGUGUGUGUUGUGAGAGUAUGUGUUGUGAGUGUGUUGUGAGAGUAUGUGUUGUGAGUGUGUUGUGAGAGUGUGUGUUGUGAGAGUGUGUGUUGUGAGUGUGUUGUGAGAGUGUGUGUUGUGAGAGUAUGUGUUGUGAUUGUGUUGUGAGAGUGUGUGUUGUGAGGGCGUUGUGAGAGUGUGUGUUGUGAGAGUAUGUGUUGUGAGUGUAUUGUGAGUGUGUUGUGAGAGUGUGUGUUGUGAGAGUAUGUGUUGUGAUUGUGUUGUGAGAGUGUGUGUUGUGAGGGCGUUGUGAGAGUGUGUGUUGUGAGAGUAUGUGUUGUGAGUGUGUUGUGAGAGUGUGUGUUGUGAGUGCGUUGUGAGGGUAUGUGUUGUGAUUGUGUUGUGAGAGUGUUGAGAGUAUGUGUUGUGAGUGUAUUGUGAGAGUGUAGUGAGUGUGUUGUGAGUGUAUGUGUUGAGUGUGUGUUGUGAGAGUGUGUGUUGUGAGAGAGUGUGUUGUGAGAGUAUGUGUUGUGAUUGUGUUGUGAGUGUGUUGUGAGAGUAUGUGUUGUGAGUGUGUUGUGAGAGUGUGUUGUGAGUGUAUUGUGAGAGUGUAGUGAGUGUGUUGUGAGAGUAUGUGUUGUGAGAGUGUGUGUUGUGAGAGUGUGUGUUGUGAGAGUAUGUGUUGUGAGUGUAUUGUGAGAGUGUAGUGAGUGUGUUGUGAGUGUGUUGUGAGAGUAUGUGUUGUGAGUGUAUUGUGAGAGUGUAGUGAGUGUGUUGUGAGUGUGUUGUGAGAGUAUGUGUUGUGAGUGUAUUGUGAGAGUGUAGUGAGUGUGUUGUGAGAGUAUGUGUUGUGAGUGUGUUGUGAGAGUGUGUUGAGUGUGUUGUGAGUGUAUGGUGAGUGUAUGUGUUGUGAGUGUAUUGUGAGAGUGUAGUGAGUGUGUUGUGAGUGUGUUGUGAGAGUAUGUGUUGUGAGAGUAUGUGUUGUGAGUGUGUUGUGAGAGUGUAGUGAGUGUGUUGUGAGUGUAUGGUGAGUGUAUGUGUUGUGAGUGUAUUGUGAGAGUGUAGUGAGUGUGUUGUGAGUGUAUGGUGAGUGUGUUUUGAGAGUGUCUGUUAAUAGCCAAUUGUAAUGGUUUUGAUUUCGACAGAAGGGGCAGUGAUUUACAAAGUUAUGAAUAUGUUUGUUGGCAGUAAAAUUCAAAUUUGAAACCUUUUGUAAAUUCAUGCAAAUAAUAAGUCUUGGUUUUGUUUUAGUAGCAUUGCACUUUGAUCAUGUUAACAUGAAACACAUACUCAAUGCCUAUGACUGAAUGUAAUGGGAACACAAAAUGGUGCAUAACAACUGUAUUUGUGUGUGUGUGUGUGUGCGUGCGUGUGUGUUACUGUCUUUUGUUUAUUUUUUAGAAACAUUUAUUUCCUGCACAUUAAUGAAUCAUUUCUCCUGUAUGCAUUCUUGCACUUUUCUUCUCUUGUCAAUUAAUGUUUGAAUUUUAUUAACUGUCUUUUUUUUUUAAUUUAUUUUCUUUGCCAUUCAGAUUGCAAUAUAUAUAUAUAUAUGUAUGUAUAUAUAUAAAAUCCCAGUACUAAAUCACAACGUCAUUAGUCUAGCUACCUUCCUGUGGUUAAAUAGUGGCUAAUGUUGACACACUGUAUUUAUGAUGCCAGAAUAUUAAUACUGUAGCAUAAUAUCUAGAAAAAAAAAAUUCUAGAUCUAAAGUCAUUACAUUAUGAACUGAACAGCAUUGUAUGUCAGUUCCAUUCAUGAGGACUACAAUGAUGAGUGUUCGCUGUGUGUAUUUGCACAGUAAUAUUUCUCAAGUAAGAAAUAAUUGCCAGUCACAGUAAUUGUUACUCAUAUCUAAAAGUAAGUUUGUUCCAACACUUUUUAUUUUACUGUUCAUGAAUCAGUGUGGAAUUCAUGAUUCGCUGUUCACGAAUCAUGAUUCACUUGAUGAAUCCGUUCAUGAAUCAGUUUUAUUUCACUGUUGAUGAAUCAGUGUGCAAAAUUUCACUAAAACCUCUAGCUGUUUCACCAUGUGUCAGCUUUAUGAUGUACAGUAUGAAGGUGUGGUGUGUGUGUGUGUGUGUGUGUGUGUGUGUGUGUGUGUGAGUGUGUGUGUGUAAUUCUGUACAUGUUUUAUGUAUGGCCGUUCUAAUGUUUAGAAAUGUUUAUUCAGAUUGUUGGUAGAUGGCUACAUUUUGUGUAGAUGUGUAAACGUUUUUAAAUAUACUACUCUGUAUGUAGUUUUGGGGAACGUUCUGAAAAUGUACUCAUUUAAAUUAACAAGACAGAUUUACAAAUUUUAUUCGGCUCGCUUUUGAAACAGGAAUUCGUUCAUUUUCAUCCUCCAGGCAUUUAAACUACAUAGAGGAGGGAAAACUUGAUCUAGACUAAGUUUGCCGAGUGAUCUGUGUUUGUCCUCAAAACAUUUUACUGAGGUCUACAUUUAAGAACUAUAAAGUCAGUGUUAUAGAUUUAACAAGGGAACAUCUCGAGUGAUCUAAAGCUAACGAUCUAUAUUGAUCAUUGAUUUAAUGCUUUUAUAUGCAGUAGAACACAUUUUAAGGUAAGACUUGCAGCUUUGUACUGUAUACCGUUCAUGCUGCAAGAAGUUCCCAAGUCAAGGAGGUAGUUUUUGUAAUCCACAGGCACUUUAUUCAACUCGCCGGCCCGUACUAUACAUCACCGCUUUUUCGUCACACCUUUUGCCUGCUUCGCCUGUUUUAUGUAGUCUGGAUUUGAACCACUGUGAUGGAACUGAUUUGUGCACGUCUGUGAUUUUUCAAUAUUAAACGAGACAACAGAUAUGAAUAGUUUGGAUAGACUAGCCAGUUCACUGAAUAGAUUAAGUGUUUGAUUUGGUUUUUAAAAGCAACUGCUGUCAUCAUCUGUGGCAUCACCUCAGUAAAAUGGUUUUGUCCUUCUUUUCUUCUUCAUCUUUUAUAUCCAUAACCUAAAUACAGUUCCCUUGUAGGAUGUAGCUUUCUUGUACACUCUCUUAAAAAAAACAAAGGGGUUAAUAGAUCAGUUGAUGGUUCAAGCUUCACUUUAAUUUGAGCCUGUUGUAAAGGGGAAGCCCUCUGUUACUGUACAUCACUAUUAUAAACGUAGGGGCAAAACCCGAACUAUUUACACCACUAACACUUGUCCGUAAUCAUGUUGUUGCUGAUGUCUGUGUCUAAAGCAAAUUUGAAACUCGCAUUUAGCAUUUAAAUCUACAAUACCACUAAAUGUGCUUCACAUUUAAUCUGCAGUGUGAAUGCCAGUGUUCACCAUAUACUGUAUGUAUACACUUUUAUUUACGUAAUUUAUUAUACUGUACCUUAUAUUACACACACUAUAUUGGGCUGUUGGAAGAGAGAAGAGGUGGUCCAAAAUUUUCAUUCUUGAAUAAACAUGACUGCUGGUAA